RNAcentral lists this ribosomal RNA (301 nucleotides) under uncultured bacterium. RNAcentral describes it as "partial 16S ribosomal RNA". It matches the Rfam family "Bacterial small subunit ribosomal RNA", at positions 509 to 807 of the family's 1533-position model. The record is from RNAcentral.
CAGUAGCCGCGGUAACACGGAGGGCGCGAGCGUUACCCGGAUUUACUGGGCGUAAGGGGCGUGUAGGCGGCCUGGGGCGUCCCAUGUGAAAGGCCACGGCUCAACCGUGGAGGAGCGUGGGAUACGCUCAGGCUAGAGGGUGGGAGAGGGUGGUGGAAUUCCCGGAGUAGCGGUGAAAUGCGCAGAUACCGGGAGGAACGCCGAUGGCGAAGGCAGCCACCUGGUCCACUUCUGACGCUGAGGCGCGAAAGCGUGGGGAGCAAACAGGAUUAGAUACCCCAGUAGUCCCUGUCUCUUAUAC